CGGCGGACUGCUCAGUAACACGUGGUACAACCUACCCUCGGGUGGGGGAUAACCUCGGGAAACUGAGGCUAAUACCCCAUAGGCCUCGGAUACUGGAAGGUUCCGAGACCGAAAGCUCCGGCGCCCGAGGAUGGGUCUGCGGCCUAUCAGGUAGUUGGUGGUGUAAAGGACCACCAAGCCUACGACGGGUACGGGCCCUGAGAGGGGGAGCCCGGAGAUGGACUCUGAGACACGAGUCCAGGCCCUACGGGGCGCAGCAGGCGCGAAACCUUCGCAAUGCGCGAAAGCGCGACGAGGGGAGCCCGAGUGCCCUUCCUUUCGGGAGGGCUUUUCUGGAGCCUAAAAAGCUCCAGGAAUAAGGGCUGGGCAAGACGGGUGCCAG
RNAcentral lists this ribosomal RNA (382 nucleotides) under uncultured archaeon. RNAcentral's name for it is "bacterial SSU rRNA". It matches the Rfam family "Archaeal small subunit ribosomal RNA", at positions 79 to 461 of the family's 1478-position model. The record is from RNAcentral.